CAGUCGCCGCGGUAAUACGUAGGUGGCAAGCGUUGUCCGGAAUUAUUGGGCGUAAAGGGCUCGCAGGCGGUUUCUUAAGUCUGAUGUGAAAGCCCCCGGCUCAACCGGGGAGGGUCAUUGGAAACUGAGAAACUUGAGUGCAGAAGAGGAGAGUGGAAUUCCACGUGUAGCGGUGAAAUGCGUAGAGAUGUGGAGGAACACCAGUGGCGAAGGCGACUCUCUGGUCUGUAACUGACGCUGAGGAGCGAAAGCGUGGGGAGCGAACAGGAUUAGAUACCCCUGUAGUCCCUGUCUCUUAUAC
RNAcentral lists this ribosomal RNA (301 nucleotides) under uncultured bacterium. RNAcentral's name for it is "partial 16S ribosomal RNA". It matches the Rfam family "Bacterial small subunit ribosomal RNA", at positions 509 to 807 of the family's 1533-position model. The record is from RNAcentral.